AUUAAUCACAAGCUUUCAUCUAGAUAAGUCUUUAUAUGUUGUUGCGGUGUUGGCCUUCUGCUACCUUCUGAGGGAUGGUAAUGGCUUGCUAUUCUUAGUUUAAUUAAUCGUUUGGUUUUAAAUUAAUAUGAUCUUGGAUUAUGGAUGUGAUGUUGAUGUAUUUGUUUUAGUUUGAUAAAUUCUGGAUUUUCUUUUGAGUGUUGAAAUAUUCUUCAUUUGGGAUAUGCUUGAGACCUUUUAUCAAUUUAUUAAAUAAAUUUAAUUCUACGAAAAUACUUCUAUGGGAACAUGCACCACCUGGCACAAACGUAAUGGGGCGGAAUAUCAUUGGCUAUUUUUUUAAUAAAACAUAAUGCUGAGAUAAUACCCCAAAUAUGUUGAAUAAUGCAAUUAGGUCAUCCAAAUUUAUUCAAACAAUGAAAACUGUAUGAUUCUGGUUUGUCCAUUUCAUGGAAUCUGUUUGACCGUGAUGAAUAAGUCUAACACAGUUCCCAUUCAGUAACAUGUGAACUAGUUAUAUUUUCUUAUAUAAAAACUGCGAUUUCCAAGAGUAAUAAAUAAAACUUCAUUACCCCUUGUAAUAUAUUUAAAGUACCUCUUCUGUUUUUCUACGAUUCUCUUAUAAAAAAACUACAAUUUCCAAUAAUUCAUGCACUAUCUUUGUGCUCCACUCUCCAAAAGUCAUCUUGAUGUCCUCUGUUAUCUCAAAUCCUCUACCAUGAUUCAUCAUCCCAGAUUAAAUUUCCAGAUUCCAGUAUUUUUAUAAAUAAUUACUCCUCACUUAUGCUACUCCAGUUGCAGCCAAGUUCAGUUCCAUGUCAUCGUUGAAGCUUAACUUGAGGGAUUCAAUGACCAAUUUUAUUUGAGAUAAAUCAAGAUCGAUCAGGCUGCUGCUUACUAAUUCCUAUAGAAUGAGAAAGGAGAGAUGCAUGCUAGCCACUCAGAGCAACAAAUUAAUCACAAGCUUUCAUCUGGAUAAGUCUUCAUCUGUUGUUGUAGUGUUGUCCUUCUCCUACCUUCUCAGGGAUGAUAAUGGCUUGCUAUUCUUAGUUUAAUUUAACCCCUUGGUUUUAAGUUAAUAUGAUCUUUGAUAAUGGGUGUGAUGUUGGUGUAUUUGGUUUAGUGUGAUAAAUUC
RNAcentral lists this long non-coding RNA (1135 nucleotides) under Linum usitatissimum (flax). Its description in RNAcentral is "long non-coding RNA (LUSI_LNC005891)". The record is from RNAcentral. Lineage: Eukaryota; Viridiplantae; Streptophyta; Magnoliopsida; Malpighiales; Linaceae.